RNAcentral lists this ribosomal RNA (436 nucleotides) under uncultured Wolbachia sp. Its description in RNAcentral is "bacterial SSU rRNA". It matches the Rfam family "Bacterial small subunit ribosomal RNA", at positions 94 to 526 of the family's 1533-position model. Lineage: Bacteria; Pseudomonadati; Pseudomonadota; Alphaproteobacteria; Rickettsiales; Anaplasmataceae. The record is from RNAcentral.
AGCGGCGGACGGGUGAGUAAUGUAUGGGGAUCUGCCCGAUAGAGGGGGAUAACUACUGGAAACGGUGGCUAAUACCGCAUAAUGUCUACGGACCAAAGCAGGGGCUCUUCGGACCUUGCACUAUCGGAUGAACCCAUAUGGGAUUAGCUAGUAGGUGGGGUAAAGGCUCACCUAGGCGACGAUCUCUAGCUGGUCUGAGAGGAUGAUCAGCCACACUGGGACUGAGACACGGCCCAGACUCCUACGGGAGGCAGCAGUGGGGAAUAUUGCACAAUGGGCGCAAGCCUGAUGCAGCCAUGCCGCGUGUAUGAAGAAGGCCUUAGGGUUGUAAAGUACUUUCAGCGGGGAGGAAGGUGAUAAGGUUAAUACCCUUAUCAAUUGACGUUACCCGCAGAAGAAGCACCGGCUAACUCCGUGCCAGCAGCCGCGGUAAUAC